RNAcentral lists this ribosomal RNA (253 nucleotides) under uncultured bacterium. RNAcentral's name for it is "partial 16S ribosomal RNA". It matches the Rfam family "Bacterial small subunit ribosomal RNA", at positions 524 to 776 of the family's 1533-position model. The record is from RNAcentral.
UACGAAGGGGCUAGCGUUGCUCGGAAUCACUGGGCGUAAAGCGCACGUAGGCGGAUUGCUAAGUCAGGGGUGAAAUCCUGGAGCUCAACUCCAGAACUGCCUUUUGAUACUGGCGAUCUCGAGUCCGGGAGAGGUGAGUGGAACUGCGAGUGUAGAGAUGAAUUCGUAGAUAUUCGCAAGAACACCAGUGGCGAAGGCGGCUCACUGGCCCGGUACUGACGCUGAGGUGCGAAAGGCGUGGGGAGCAAACAGG